Molecule: transfer RNA, 74 nt
Filed under: Planctomycetaceae bacterium
Lineage: Bacteria; Pseudomonadati; Planctomycetota; Planctomycetia; Planctomycetales; Planctomycetaceae
Description: tRNA-Glu
Rfam family: tRNA
About the family: Transfer RNA (tRNA) molecules are approximately 80 nucleotides in length. Their secondary structure includes four short double-helical elements and three loops (D, anti-codon, and T loops).
Source: RNAcentral
GGCCCUGUCGUCUAACCCGGUCAGGACACAGGCCUUUCACGCCUGGAAUACGGGUUCAAAUCCCGUCGGGGUCA